This 2296-nucleotide long non-coding RNA is filed under the name Homo sapiens (human). RNAcentral's name for it is "HSALNT0096674". Lineage: Eukaryota; Metazoa; Chordata; Mammalia; Primates; Hominidae. The record is from RNAcentral.
GUAAUCUUUUUUUUUUUUUUAAACAGAGUCUCGCUCUGUCACCCAGGCUGCAGUGCAGUGACCCAAUCUUGGCUCACUGCAAACUCCAUCUCCAGGGUUCAAGCCAUUCUCAUGCUCAGCCUCCCAAGUAGCUGGGAUUACAGGUGUGCACCACUGCGCCUGGCUAAUCUUUGUAAUUUUAGUAGACAGGGUUUCUCCAUGUUGGCCAGGCUGGUCUUGAACUCCUGACCUCAGGUGAUCCACCCAUCUCGGCCUCUCAAGGUGCUGGGAUUACAGGGCGUGAGCCACCAUGCCCCGCCAGGAGUAGUAAUCUUUAUUUUUAUGUGGGUGAUCCAAAAAUAAUUCUCUCUAUUCUGGAAGGUGCUCAGGCACUGAUAUUUAAAAAAGGAUGUUCCCUUUUUCUAUGGGGCAUUUCAAGCAAAACAAUGAAACUGCAUUUUAAGGAUCUAUGAAGCUUUUCUGUCCGGCUCUACUGAUGAGCUUUUCUGAUGAAACUCCACUCUGUAUUAAGAAGAGGCACCAUCAGCUCUCCUCUCCUAUGAAGUACAAGAAUUUGAUGAUGUGGAAAACGCUCAUGGUGUGAAGUGAAAAACGCAAGACACGAAACUGUACUUAUGGGACACAAAUCCAGGAGCCAUUCCUUCUGCCUGGGAGGAGGGAGUGAUGAAGACCAGAGGAAUCCCAGAGGAGAAGCCAUCUGAGAUCGGGAGGAGGAGAAAUGGAACAUCAGGCGGAGGAAACAGCCCAGACAAUCGCACUGGGACGUGAAAACCCUUGGGCUGCAUGCGGGGAGAAAACCAGAAUUGGGGAUGGUUAGGGUUUUGGAGGGAAACACAGGGACAUGUGACCAAAAAUAAUAAUAACUACUGUUACUUAUUGAGGACUUUCUAUGUACUAGAAUAAGAAAAUCAUGAUAGCUAAGACUGAUAAAACGCUAAGUGUCAAACGCUGUCUUCAGCACUUUACACAUAUUCACUUAUUUAAUUAAUCGGAGAAAAUAACUUUUAUGAGCCAGGGACUCUGCAUACAUUAUCUCUUUUCAUUAGCCCAGUAAUCCCAUGGGGUAGGUACUAGUACUAUCCCUGUUUUAGAAAUGAGGAAAUCAAACCUGAGAGGCUAAACCACUUGCCCAAGAUUACACAGCUAAUGUCAGUGCCUAGAUUCAAACCCACAUCCGUAUAACUCCAGAGCCUGAUGCAACACACCUUAUUUUCCAGGUGGAGAAACUGAUAAUGAGAGAGAAAUGACUUGCCUAAGAUCCCUCAGCAAGUUUUAGCAAAGCCUCGUUGUAGAAUCCCAGCCUCAAACCUCGUCCAUCUGUUCCUUUUUCUGAGCCUCUUUAGUCAAACCCAGGUUGACUAGAGAAGUGCUAAGUGUUGGAGAGGGCGAGGCACUCCUGAAGAUGAUGGGUAGGUAGGUCUAUCAAACCCUACUCAUGGGCACCCAUGAGGGAAAUCAAAUAAGUGGUUCUGGCCAUUAAUGUCGUUUGGGACUCCGUUAGUCUCCAGCUGCUGUAAAAUUCGUAUCUUUCUGUGAACCCGAAAUAUCUGAGAUAGGUCUCAGUCAAUUUAGAAGGUUAAUUUUGCCAAGCUUAAGAACGUGCUCAUGACACAGCCUCAGGAGGUCCCAACAUGUGCCCAGGGUGGUGGGGGUGUAGCCUCCUUUUAUAUAUUUUGGGGAGACAUGAGACAUCAAUCAAUAUGUGUAGGAUGUACAUUGCUUCCGGUCCGGUAAGGCAAGACAACUCCAAGCUGCAGAAAGGGUGGUGCUUCCAGGUUAUAAGUAGAUAAGAAACAGAAGAGGUUACAUUCUUUUGAGUCCUUGAUCAACCUUCCACUGAAUACACAAUUUAGUCUAGCUCAGUGAAUCUACAUUUUUACAUAAACAAUAGGGCAGAAGAAGCAAUCAGAUAUGCAUUUGUUUCCGGUGAGCCUCAGAGGGAUGGCUUUAAAUUCUGUCUGUCCUUUGUCCACAAGGAAUUUCCUUGUGUGAAAAUUGUGAGGAAGGUAUGUAGCUGUUUCUCUUUGUAGCUAUCUUAUUUAAGAAUAGGAUGGUGGCCUGGCAUUGUGGCUUAGGCCUGUAAUCCCAGCACUUUGGGAGGCCAAGGCGGGCAGAUCACCUGAGGUCAGGAAUUCGAGACCAGUCUGACCAAUGUGGCGAAACCCUGUCUCUACUAAAAAUACAAAAAAAAUUAGCCAGGCGUGGUGGCACACCUGUAAUCCCAGCUACUCAGGAGGCUGAGGCAGGAGAUCGCUUAAACCUCGGAAGGGGAGGUUGCAGUGAGCCAAGAUCACGC